RNAcentral lists this ribosomal RNA (273 nucleotides) under uncultured bacterium. RNAcentral describes it as "partial 16S ribosomal RNA". It matches the Rfam family "Archaeal small subunit ribosomal RNA", at positions 474 to 747 of the family's 1478-position model. The record is from RNAcentral.
UACCAGCACCCCGAGUAGUCGGGACGAUUAUUGGGCCUAAAGCAUCCGUAGCCUGUUCUGCAAGUCCUCCGUUAAAUCCACCCGCUUAACGGAUGGGCUGCGGGGGAUACUGCAGAGCUAGGAGGCGGGAGAGGCAAACGGUACUCAGUGGGUAGGGGUAAAAUCCAUUGAUCUACUGAAGACCACCAGUGGCGAAGGCGGUUUGCCAGAACGCGCUCGACGGUGAGGGAUGAAAGCUGGGGGAGCAAACCGGAUGAGAAAACCUCGUAGUCC